Long non-coding RNA from Limulus polyphemus (Atlantic horseshoe crab), 1579 nucleotides. RefSeq lists it as uncharacterized. Lineage: Eukaryota; Metazoa; Arthropoda; Merostomata; Xiphosura; Limulidae. The transcript has 3 exons. The record is from RefSeq and is a predicted model, not a curated record.
CUACGGAAAAGGGUGAAAAAUACCAGAAGCUAGUACUGAUACAUUACUUACUGAACAAGAGGAAGGGCUUUGGGAUGAUAGAGGUACCAGUCGGAAACACAGUAAAUACAGUAUUAUGAAGUUUUCCGACGGAUGCGGAGCCAGGAUGUUAUUUGGAGUGGAAUAUGAUAAAUCCUGCUGAGGCCAAGUGAUGUAGUUACUUUACAUCGGGAUGAGGACUCUACUACACUAUGCCUGCCUUCACUCUGGUUUUUUACAAGUUUUACAGUUUGUUGAAAUAGCAAAAGCUACCGCGUGGUAUACGUUUUACUGCAGCGAAGAAUAAUCUGUGAACUCCUGGUUUUAGAGAGAAGUGCAAGAUAAUAUUUUAUGCUAAGUCUGUGACAGAUAUAUGGCAGAGAACCAACUGCUGGCUCUAUCAUGGAACUUUUUCUUCAGCCAACACACAGACGCCAAAGGAAGUUUCGUAAGAGUCUUGAGGUGUAACAGAGCAGAGGAAGUCGCCUUCUUUCCUGUCUAUACAGGUGUUAUGUGCAUCCGACUAACAACUGAUGCAAUGGCAACGUUAUGGAGUUUAGGAAGUGAACACUGACGUGAUUUCGUUUUUCAGUAGAGUACGUGUUUGUUUUCAGAUGACUCAAAGUACUUAACAAUCCAUAAGAUUCUGAAGGCUAACCCGACUUUCGGCCAAGUGAAGUAAGAGCCAAUGGAUGAAGAUAUGUUCCUUGCUGACUUGUCAGACAUGCAACUUGUAUUAGCACUAAAGUCUCUAGGGGACAAACAUCCCAGACCACCAGGGAUCUGAAAAUAGCUGCUGAACUGAUCAGAACUGCCUGUUGCUACUAUCUACUGAAAGAAAUCCAGUCUUUUGAUCAAAGAUGGCUACACCAGAACUUACAUUCAUCCCUCUUAAACUAGUUUAGAAUACCAUAGUGUUCCAUCUGCAGGAGACAUGUGAAGAAAUGACCUAAGGAAGGAACACCAUAUUCCAAAACCAAAGAAGAUAUUUCCAGGGCUAAGUUCUUCACAUGGCUCAGCUAAGCAUUGGGGAGGUUUGAUCAUUUCAGAUCCAAAGAUCUAGGUGUUGACAGCGAAACCACCUACAGAGUUCCUGAUAUCGAAAUUAGAACAUCCAUAUCAGUUGUUCUACCUCCUCCAUCUCCCAAGUGGCCCUAAUUCUAUCCUCUACAGCUAAGACAUUUAGUGCUUCCCAUCAUGCCACUAACCAAAAUAAAAGCGCUUCCAAUGCUUCAACCAGUACAAUUUCCAGGAUCAAGCAGCCAAAUGAACAGGUGUCUGGGCUCUUUAUAACCGAGAGGAAGACUAGUUCCCGAAAUGUAGAGAUUCUCCAGCACAGCUGGAGCAGUUUAAAAAAAGAGGUACACUGUUUCCAUGUUGAGCUGUCAGACUCCAAAGACUCCUCUGAGAACUCUGGGGGUCAUAUGUUAGACAACCACUGCUAGCGGUAAAUCGAUUGUUACAUCGGAUAACCUGCUGGUGGUGUUCCAGUAAAGAUAAGAGAUUCUAGUCUCUGCCAGUACUGUACAUACAUUUUAAACUAUUUUCUUUUCGUUUAUGU